UGAAUAUUUUAGACCGUCGGAUAUAAUUAAACUGAGAAUAUAUCUAACGGUUCAGAAUAUUCAAUGAUGGUGACCUGCUCACCUGGUAGCCUCUUUUUUUUUUUUUUUUGUUGUUGCAAAAUUCUGAAUUACAUAUCGGCCAUAAAAUUUGAGAUUUUCUCAGAAAACCCUAAAUUGAAAGGGCACGUAAGAACUCGUUCAAUUUCUUCAGUACAAAUUUUUCUUUUGCUCUGAUAAAACCCUAAGUUGAAAAGGAGAAGACUGGAGGAAUGAAGAAUUGCAUUGAGGAAUGAUAGAUUUCCCAAUUCUCGUUGGACCAUCUUGGACUCUUGGUUACUUCCAAAGGACUUUUCUUUUCGUGUGUCAUCACAUACUUUUGAAGCAUGGAUGGAUCAUAUGAAUCUUCAAUGUGUAAUGGAAGUGACUGUAAUGAAAUGCAAUAUAAGGGAGUUUGGUAUGAUAAGUUGUCUACAGAAGAUCUUAAAGGGCAGGAGUUUAAGACUGUGGAGGAAGUUGAAUCAUUUUACAAUGCUUAUGCAAAGGAUAUGGGUUUUGGUGUUAGAAACGACUACAAGAGAUUAAGUAUACGCAUAACAGGGAGAGUCACUUCAUUGCGAUUGGUUUGUUCUGCUCAAGGGAAAAGUAGUACAUGAGUAACAAGAAAAGAGUUCGCAAGCCAAAGAAAGAAACAAGAUUCAAUUCCAAGUGCUGGAGAUUACUUAAAAAAGACAAGGAGGGUGAUUGAAUAUCAAUCCCACUCUAGUUCACACAGAGUUCCAUCAAAGAAUGGCAAUGAAAGAUGCAAGAUGGUAACACAACUAUAUUCAAGUUGUUUUGAGUGAAUUCAAGGUGAAGCACUUUAAGAUUACACCUGACUGCAAUUUGGAUCCACGUGGUGAUUCGAAAAAAGUCAUCACUUAUCUCUGCAUUGACUGUGGCAUUGAAAGACCAGCAAAUGCCAAAGCACUCUAUCUUAUUAUCACCACGAUGAAACAAGUACAUUGUUGUGUCAACAUUGUUGGAAUAUAUGAAUUGAGGCUAGCUUUGUUCUUACUGUGAUAAGAGUCUGGUUGGUUAGCUAAUCAUUUUGCUUGUUUCAAUGACAUACUAAUGUGGUGGGAGUUAGUUGCAUAUCCAUGCCUUGUCUACAAGUUAUU
Rosa chinensis is the source of this 1157-nucleotide long non-coding RNA. RefSeq lists it as uncharacterized. The transcript is spliced from 3 exons. The record is from RefSeq and is a predicted model, not a curated record. Lineage: Eukaryota; Viridiplantae; Streptophyta; Magnoliopsida; Rosales; Rosaceae.